GAUCCUGGCUCGGGAUGAACGCUAGCUACAGGCUUAGCACAUGCAAGUCGAGGGGCAGCAUGUUGGUUGCUUGCAACCAAUGAUGGCGACCGGCGCACGGGUGAGUAACGCGUAUCCAACCUACCCUUGUCCAUCGGAUAACCCGUCGAAAGGCGGCCUAACACGAUAUGCGGUUCACAGCAGGCAUCUAACGUGAACGAAAUGUGAAGGAGAAGGAUGGGGAUGCGU
Molecule: ribosomal RNA, 228 nt
Filed under: uncultured bacterium
Lineage: Bacteria
Description: partial 16S ribosomal RNA
Rfam family: Bacterial small subunit ribosomal RNA
Source: RNAcentral